CAGAAUAAGAGAUCCAGUCAUCCACUCAGUUCCAAUUUCAAAGGUAUAACAGAGAUAGAUAGAUAGAUAACAAAGUACUAACAGCACCUCGAGCAUUCGGUGUAAAAACACACAAAUCUUGAUUAAAGCAGUUUCAUCCAACGGAUAACUUGAUGCCUAUGUAUGUGUAUCUGAAACACCAGGAGGCACUAGAUACCAAGUAUCGUAGGUAGGUAGAUAGGCAAGCACGUGGAGCUGCUUACUUGCCGCCCCCAAUUUCCUUCACGGCACAGAUCUGUUCUUC
This 283-nucleotide long non-coding RNA is filed under the name Brachypodium distachyon (stiff brome). Its description in RNAcentral is "long non-coding RNA (BDIS_LNC001189)". The record is from RNAcentral. Lineage: Eukaryota; Viridiplantae; Streptophyta; Magnoliopsida; Poales; Poaceae.